This 160-nucleotide small RNA is filed under the name Chrysemys picta bellii (western painted turtle). RNAcentral's name for it is "TUC338 (ENSCPBG00000015464.1)". Lineage: Eukaryota; Metazoa; Chordata; Testudines; Emydidae. The record is from RNAcentral.
UUGAAGAAUAAAAUCUUAUAUUUAUUCACUGACUAGGUACAGCACAGGCAGGGGUAGUUCUAGCUUUUCUCACAUUGCCCCAGAAAUGUGCCACAACGCUGAUAUGGAAGGGCCAUCUCUGGGAGUCAGUGUCCAUUCAGUUAUUCAAUUCUACCCACCA